This 501-nucleotide ribosomal RNA is filed under the name uncultured bacterium. Its description in RNAcentral is "partial 16S ribosomal RNA". It matches the Rfam family "Bacterial small subunit ribosomal RNA", at positions 30 to 523 of the family's 1533-position model. The record is from RNAcentral.
AUUGAACACUGGCGGCAGGCUUAACACAUGCAAGUCGAGCGGGGGAAGGUAGCUUGCUACCGGACCUAGCGGCGGACGGGUGAGUAAUGCUUAGGAAUCUGCCUAUUAGUGGGGGACAACAUCUCGAAAGGGAUGCUAAUACCGCAUACGUCCUACGGGAGAAAGCAGGGGAUCUUCGGACCUUGCGCUAAUAGAUGAGCCUAAGUCGGAUUAGCUAGUUGGUGGGGUAAAGGCCUACCAAGGCGACGAUCUGUAGCGGGUCUGAGAGGAGGAUCCGCCACACUGGGACUGAGACACGGCCCAGACUCCUACGGGAGGCAGCAGUGGGGAAUAUUGGACAAUGGGGGGAACCCUGAUCCAGCCAUGCCGCGUGUGUGAAGAAGGCCUUAUGGUUGUAAAGCACUUUAAGCGAGGAGGAGGCUACUCUAGUUAAUACCUAGGGAUAGUGGACGUUACUCGCAGAAUAAGCACCGGCUAACUCCGUGCCAGCCGCCGCGGUAA